This 45-nucleotide non-coding RNA is filed under the name Schistosoma mansoni. The record is from RNAcentral. Lineage: Eukaryota; Metazoa; Platyhelminthes; Trematoda; Strigeidida; Schistosomatidae.
AUCCAGCUGACGAAUCCAAACUAGGACGAAACGCACGCUCUGCAU